Oryza nivara is the source of this 194-nucleotide non-coding RNA. NCBI's taxonomy places the organism in Eukaryota, Viridiplantae, Streptophyta, Magnoliopsida, Poales, Poaceae. The record is from Rfam.
AAUAAGCACAGUUGUGAGUUUCAGUGCCCAACUUUGACUAUCCGUAAUAUUUUCAUGAUUAGUAUUUUUAUUGUUAUUAGAUAAUAAAAUAUAAAUAAUACUUUAUGCGUGACUUAACUUUUUAAAAAAAUUUCAUAAAAUUUUCAAAUAAGACGGCCAAACAUUGAGCACGGAAACUUAUGGCUGCACUUAUA